Triticum aestivum (bread wheat) is the source of this 115-nucleotide non-coding RNA. The record is from Rfam. NCBI's taxonomy places the organism in Eukaryota, Viridiplantae, Streptophyta, Magnoliopsida, Poales, Poaceae.
CUACUACUCCCUCCAUCCGAAAAUACUUGUCAUUGAAAUGGAUGUAUCUAGAUGUAUUUUAGUUCUAGACACAUCGAUUUUGAUGACAAGUAAUUCCGGACGGAGGGAGUAUUAU